CCUACGGGAGGCUGCAGUGCGGAAUAUUGGUCAAUGGGCGCGAGCCUGAACCCGCCAAGUCGCGUGAGGGAGGACGGCCCUACGGGUUGUCAACCUCUUUUGCCGGGGAGCAACGGGCGCCACGUGUGGCGUCACUGAGAGUACCCGGAGAAAAAGCAUCGGCUAACUCCGUGCCAGCAGCCGCGGUCAUACGGAGGAUGCGAGCGUUCUCCGGAUUUAUUGGGGUUAAGGGGUGCGUAGGCGGAACGUUAAGUCAGGGGUAAAAUUGAGGGGCUCAACCCCUUCCCGCCAUUGAAACUGGCGUUCUUGAGUGGGAGAGAAGUAUGCGGAAUGCGGGGUGUAGCGGUGAAAUGCAUAGAUAUCACGCAGAACCCCGAUUGCGAAGGCAGCAUGCCGGCUUCCGACUGACGCUGAAGCACGAAAGCGUGGGGAUCGAACAGGAUUAGAUACCCUUGUAGUC
RNAcentral lists this ribosomal RNA (460 nucleotides) under uncultured bacterium. RNAcentral's name for it is "partial 16S ribosomal RNA". It matches the Rfam family "Bacterial small subunit ribosomal RNA", at positions 338 to 795 of the family's 1533-position model. The record is from RNAcentral.